GCGGAUGUGGCGGAACUGGCAGACGCGCUGGAUUUAGGUUCCAGUGNNUGCAGGUUCGAUUCCUGUCAUCCGUA
This 74-nucleotide transfer RNA is filed under the name Weissella cibaria. RNAcentral describes it as "tRNA-Leu". It matches the Rfam family "tRNA". From Rfam's summary of the family: Transfer RNA (tRNA) molecules are approximately 80 nucleotides in length. Their secondary structure includes four short double-helical elements and three loops (D, anti-codon, and T loops). The record is from RNAcentral. Lineage: Bacteria; Bacillati; Bacillota; Bacilli; Lactobacillales; Lactobacillaceae.